CUCAAGGUCUGAGUGGAAGCAAAGGAGAGAGAGGACCCAUGGGCGUUCCAGGUGCUCAAGGUCUGAGUGGACGCAAAGGAGAGAGAGGACCCAUGGGCGUUCCAGGUGCUCAAGGUCUGAGUGGACGCAAAGGAGACAAGGGCUUCCAAAGAAGAGGUGGACCCAAAGGAGACAUUGUAGACUCCGACGUGGAGGGGCUAGCUGGUGAGAAAGGGGAAAAGGUAUGUCUGGAGAAUCUGGCACUAAAGGACAGCACAGAGUGAGGAGACCUUGGACAUAAUGGUCCAACAUGGAGACUCUGGGAAGCCAGGUGAUGUAGGACCCCCUGGACUGCCUGGUCCUCGGGGGUUGAAAGGCAUGAGCGGUGUGCAUGGCAGGCCGGGUAUUGAGGGUCCACCGGGACAAGAUAUAUCUGACCAGCAUAUUAUUGAUGUGGUAUAAAGAAUGUUGCAAGAGAGGCUGGCAGCAGUAGCAGUGAGCACUAAAAGGGCUGUGCCGUUGAACAACCGGCUAUUCUGGUCCUCCGUGAUUAAUGGUUCCACAAGGACCACAUGAUUUGCCUGGUUCCCGAAGAAUUCCUGGAACGAUGGGAGCUGACAGACGGAUUGGAAACACAUGUCUUAAAGCUGGAUGUCCCCUCAUCGCAGCCGGAGAGUGAAUGAGUCGCUCAGAAAGGAGGAGGUCUUAUAUGUGAGUUCUGCAGGGGGUGGGGCUUCAGCUCCCCUCUGCAGUGUCGCCAGCAACUUCUCACAGAUCUAUCCUACAUGUAUGAUGUGUCUACUCGACAUAUAAUGAGCAUCAUACAGUGGACAAACACACAGGUAAGUAUAAAUGUGUUUGGCUGAUGUAAUCAAAUGUUUGCUUUGAUCUUUUUGCCUCAGACUCCUGUGUAGUGCGUUUGAGCCCCUCACCACACUGACAUGAGUGCCCCUUGCACCCACGUUCCUCGACAACAGAGUCCCCAGGGAGUCCACAACCGGCGGGACGCCACCCAAACGACGGACUGGAGGCACAGGCGUGUUAGGAUUGGGGUUAGGAUUAGGAUUGGGGUAAGGGAAUGCACAGUCCGUCUGCAGCCCGUCAGGGCGACGCCCACACCAAUCGCAGAACCCCCCGAGAACCCCGAAGUCGUACAACGCCAAACUCCUGGGUGUGCAGUUGGUGGCAAACACGGCCGAAUUAAUCUGCUGUCCAACGACGCGUUUCGGUCCCUUAGACCUCAUCAGGUUGGCUACUAAUGCAGGAUGUAUGCCAUCUUUUUAACUGCGUUACCUCAUGCCUACUGGGACACUUCUAAUUCCCUAGUAGGUGGAGCACUUCUAAUCUCCUGAGGCCCUUUAAUGACGACUGCUCUGUUUUCUCUUCGCAGCUGGAUGUCCCCUCAUCGCAGCCGGAGAGUGAAUGAGUCGCUCAGAAAGGAGGAGGUCUUAUAUGUGAGUUCUGCAGGGGGUGGGGCUUCAGCUCCCCUCUGCAGUGUCGCCAGCAACUUCUCACAGAUCUAUCCUACAUGUAUGAUGUGUCUACUCGACAUAUAAUGAGCAUCAUACAGUGGACAAACACACAGGUAAGUAUAAAUGUGUUUGGCUGAUGUAAUCAAAUGUUUGCUUUGAUCUUUUUGCCUCAGACUCCUGUGUAGUGCGUUUGAGCCCCUCACCACACUGACAUGAGUGCCCCUUGCACCCACGUUCCUCGACAACAGAGUCCCCAGGGAGUCCACAACCGGCGGGACGCCACCCAAACGACGGACUGGAGGCACAGGCGUGUUAGGAUUGGGGUUAGGAUUAGGAUUGGGGUAAGGGAAUGCACAGUCCGUCUGCAGCCCGUCAGGGCGACGCCCACACCAAUCGCAGAACCCCCCGAGAACCCCGAAGUCGUACAACGCCAAACUCCUGGGUGUGCAGUUGGUGGCAAACACGGCCGAAUUAAUCUGCUGUCCAACGACGCGUUUCGGUCCCUUAGACCUCAUCAGGUUGGCUACUAAUGCAGGAUGUAUGCCAUCUUUUUAACUGCGUUACCUCAUGCCUACUGGGACACUUCUAAUUCCCUAGUAGGUGGAGCACUUCUAAUCUCCUGAGGCCCUUUAAUGACGACUGCUCUGUUUUCUCUUCGCAGCUGGAUGUCCCCUCAUCGCAGCCGGAGAGUGAAUGAGUCGCUCAGAAAGGAGGAGGUCUUAUAUGUGAGUUCUGCAGGGGGUGGGGCUUCAGCUCCCCUCUGCAGUGUCGCCAGCAACUUCUCACAGAUCUAUCCUACAUGUAUGAUGUGUCUACUCGACAUAUAAUGAGCAUCAUACAGUGGACAAACACACAGGUAAGUAUAAAUGUGUUUGGCUGAUGUAAUCAAAUGUUUGCUUUGAUCUUUUUGCCUCAGACUCCUGUGUAGUGCGUUUGAGCCCCUCACCACACUGACAUGAGUGCCCCUUGCACCCACGUUCCUCGACAACAGAGUCCCCAGGGAGUCCACAACCGGCGGGACGCCACCCAAACGACGGACUGGAGGCACAGGCGUGUUAGGAUUGGGGUUAGGAUUAGGAUUGGGGUAAGGGAAUGCACAGUCCGUCUGCAGCCCGUCAGGGCGACGCCCACACCAAUCGCAGAACCCCCCGAGAACCCCGAAGUCGUACAACGCCAAACUCCUGGGUGUGCAGUUGGUGGCAAACACGGCCGAAUUAAUCUGCUGUCCAACGACGCGUUUCGGUCCCUUAGACCUCAUCAGGUUGGCUACUAAUGCAGGAUGUAUGCCAUCUUUUUAACUGCGUUACCUCAUGCCUACUGGGACACUUCUAAUUCCCUAGUAGGUGGAGCACUUCUAAUCUCCUGAGGCCCUUUAAUGACGACUGCUCUGUUUUCUCUUCGCAGCUGGAUGUCCCCUCAUCGCAGCCGGAGAGUGAAUGAGUCGCUCAGAAAGGAGGAGGUCUUAUAUGUGAGUUC
Long non-coding RNA from Nerophis ophidion (straightnose pipefish), 2927 nucleotides. RefSeq lists it as uncharacterized. The record is from RefSeq and is a predicted model, not a curated record. NCBI's taxonomy places the organism in Eukaryota, Metazoa, Chordata, Actinopteri, Syngnathiformes, Syngnathidae. The transcript has 8 exons.